UGGUAAUGACCAUUUCAGUAUGAUUAAUUAGACUUCACUCCUUAUGUAUAUUUCUGAGUUUGGUUAUUUUUAAUGUUAUUGAGUUGAUCGUGAUGAUAAUGAUGAUGAUGAUGAUGAUGGGAGCGGUGAUGUAGUGGUACUAUCGAUGCUGAUGAUAAUGAUGGCGGUGAUGAUUAACUCUGAUUGGGUGAAAUUAUGAUCAAAGGCAUUCUAGCCGUGGUAGUUCCGUCCAAUAUAUCCAAUAUACUCUUCCCGACACAUGCACUUUAGAAUCCACAUAAGAAAAUUAGAAAUUAGCAAUUAUUUCUAGCAAUUCAACAAACCGUGUAUAUCUUAGUUACAUUUGGGUGUAUGCGGGUGCGUACGCACGUGUGGUGUGUGUAUGUGAAUUUGUGUGAGAGAACUGGUGUGUGUGUACGCAUGUGCGCCCCGACUCUAUAUUCUUGGAUCUGGCUGUAAUGUUAAAACAUAUUCGCUAGCCAGCAUAGCGCUGCACCUAUUGGCACUUUAGCUGAAAAAAAAAAAAUACAAAAAAAACAAACAAACAAAAAUCAGAGGAAUUUACAUGGCUUCUGUCUUAAUUAAAGAUGUGUACACACGCUGAUAACUCUAAUUACAAUGGAUCUCUUACGUUCAUCAAGGUGUUGGACUUCAAUACAAAAGAACACAUGCACAGUGAAAUUUGCGACAGAGAUUAUAUCGCGGGACUAUACUAUCGGACGUGACCUUACUUUUUCUAAAAUGAUGAGAUCUGAUUCAAGGGAGAUUUCACUGAUAUUUCUACUAAACCAAGCUACCGUGGAGUGAUAUAUUCAUUGCAUCGAUUUUCAUUGGAUAACUCUUAAAAUGAAAACACUUAUGGCACACGUAGUUUCCAGAGUUAUUAUUUAUUUAUUUGUCCUAUAUCAAUGAUUAAGAAAAGUUAUUAGGUUACUAGAACUCACCAUUAACUGAUAACAUUUUAAAUAUAUUUCUAAAUUUAUCUCUAAUGCAAACAGAAUCAGUGUCCCCUGCUGCGAGCACCAUAAAGCAAGACUACAUCUCCUAAUGAGUGGAAAGGAUCCAUUUCAUUUUCAUUAAAAAAAACCAAUUCCGUUCAUUUUUUUAAGGCUUUCUCAGAGGUGGAAGAACUCUGUCUAGUUGAAUAAACGAAGAAAUAUAUGAUCAGCCCGAACGUAACUCAAAUGUUAAAAAUUCAACUUCUUAAAACGUAUGCAAGGAACCAGGUGGUGUUAAUUAACUUUCUGAUCGAUAAGGGUCUGUUACAUAAAUUUAUGUACCACCCAAACAGACUUUCUUCUAGUUGCUUGUCUAACCAACUCUUUUCAUUGAAAAGAGCUUGGCUGACCUUGAGGCAAAGAUUGUGGAUACGUUUUCAAUGAGUUGAGCAGCGGACCUAACCUAGAACCAUGUAAUUGCGGAACUAAUUUUUUAACCACACAGAGCACUAUGAUGUCAUGCUCUUGGGUAAUUCAUGAAUAUUCUACAAUAUCAUUUUCCUUGUUUGAAAGAAGGAUUUUAUUAGAGACUUAAAUAAGGUGGCGAGGUAGCAGAAUUUUAGCACGCCGGCUUAAAUGAUUAUUAGCGGCAUUUUACCUGUCUUUACUUUCAAAUUCUGUCAAGGUCGACUUUGCAAUUCAUUCUUUAAGGGUCAAUAAAAUAAGUACUACUCGAGCAUUGGAGUCAGUUUAAUGCACUAUUUUUCCUCCCACAAAAUUUCAGGUCUUGUGCCUAUAGAAGAAAGACUGUUAGGGAUUUAUAUGAAGGCGGCGACUUGAUAGAAUCGUCAGCACACCGGAUAAAACGAGUAGCAGCGUUUCACUCAUCUUUACGUACUCGAUUUAAGUUCUGCUGAAGUCGACUGUACCUUUCGUUCUUUGGGGGUCGAUGAAAUAAGUAAUAGUCGAGUACUGAGUCAAUAUAAUGGACUAUUCCCCCUCCCCCCGAAAAAAAAUUCUUGUCUUGUACCUAUAGUAGAAAGAUUAUUAGGAAUUUAUAUGAAGACGGUGAACUGGCAGAGUCGUUAGCACGCCGGACAAAAUGCCUUGCGGCAGUUCAUCCGGUUUUACGUAUUAGAGCAAAUACCUCCGAGUUUGAUUUUGCCAUUCAUCCUUUCGGGGUGGGGGGGGGCAAUGAAAUAAGUACCAGAUGAACAGUGGGGUUGAUAUAGUUGAUUAGCCCAGUCCCCCAAAAUGCAGGCCUUCCGUCUUAUAAUAGAAACAUAUUGAUUUAUAUUGUUGAGAAACGUUAGUUUAUAACAAUGAAUACACCUCUGACAUGCAAAAAGAAAAACGUCAAAUAAGUGAAAUGAAUUUUCGAUUGAGAGGACAGCAGUUUAAGUGUAAUAGUAUGUGUCAAACUGAUGUCAUUUAGAAACUAAUUAAUCUGUUUGUAAUCUCCUGCCUGACCUUGUCCCAUAUGAGAAAACAAUACGGUCGAAUGCUGAUUUAGGUAAGCCACUGGCAUGUCUUACACUUAAAUACAAACACACACAUUCUGACGUAAGUCACAUUGUAGACACAUGUACACACACACAUACACACAUACUACAUUCACACACACCACUGAAAACAAAGAGCCAUAACUGUGAGUAUGUAUGUACACGUGCAUGUGUAUAUUCAUGUAUAUGUGUAUGUAUGAAUAACGCAUAAAUUAAUGAAUGAUUGGCUCAAUCUAUCUAUCUAUAUAUAUGUGUGUCUGUCUAUCUGUCUGUUUGCCUGCCUGUCUAUCUAUCUGUCUGUCUGCCUGUCUGCCUGUCUGUCUGUCUGUCUGUCUGUCUGUCCAUCUCUCUAUCUGUAUAUCUUUCUAUGUAUGUAUGUAUGUAUGUAUACAUGUAAGUACUUCUCUCUGUCUCUCUCUGUCUGUCUGUCUCUCUCUCUCUCUGUCUGUCUGUCUGUCUGUCUCUCUCUCUCUCUCUCUCUCUCUCUCUAUAUAUAUAUAUAUAUGAAGUACAUAGAGAAAAUACAUAAGGGAAAUUACACACAUACAUGCAAUCAAUAUGUGUGACUAUGCGUAUUUGAGUGAUUGCAUGCGUGUCUGAACACAUGUUUCGGCUUUAAUUUUCUAAUUUUUACAAUUUCGUAAAUGUCAAAUCUAAUCUGUGAUAGACCCAUUUCAAAAAUCGUAAUUAAUCAAUUAUAUUAAAUUAUCAAUCAGUUGUGCGAUUAGAAGUUAUUAAUAUCAAAUAUUUCAAUUUAAAUAAUUAAUUCAUAAAUUCCCUUCAUGUACAUUGUAUCCACGUAUUAAAGUGGCUGCUGUUCGUGUUUAUAAAAUAUAGCUGGUGUAUUUCCCCUCGUUGUGACUAAAUGAAAUGUGUAAAGACGUUGGAAAGUGAAAUUCAUCAGCAGGAUGUAAUUUCCGCCAAGUAAAACUUAAUUCGGGUAUCACGUGCAAUCGAAGGAACGUUAGCGCGCAUCUGCUAGAAAUAGCAGUGAAAUCCCCUCAACUCACAGUUUAUUUUAUCGAAAGACGAAGAGCUCAUUGAAUAUGUACUGUGUCGAAAAAUAAAACAAAACAAAACAAGAAAAAAAAAACGAUUUAGUGACAGAGAGUAUAUCUAUGGUUCUUUAUGUUAACGAUUCCGAAAAAAAAAAAUGAAAGACAAAAUUAA
This is an unclassified non-coding RNA of Octopus bimaculoides (California two-spot octopus), 3610 nucleotides long. The record is from RefSeq and is a predicted model, not a curated record. Lineage: Eukaryota; Metazoa; Mollusca; Cephalopoda; Octopoda; Octopodidae.